Molecule: ribosomal RNA, 898 nt
Filed under: uncultured Bacteroidota bacterium
Lineage: Bacteria; Pseudomonadati; Bacteroidota
Description: bacterial SSU rRNA
Rfam family: Bacterial small subunit ribosomal RNA
Source: RNAcentral
GGAUCCAGACUUUGAUUAUGGCUCAGGAUGAACGCUAGCUACAGGCUUAACACAUGCAAGUCGAGGGGAAACGACAUCGAAAGCUUGCUUUUGAUGGGCGUCGACCGGCGCACGGGUGAGUAACGCGUAUCCAACCUGCCCACCACUUGGGGAUAACCUUGCGAAAGUAAGACUAAUACCCAAUGAUAUCUCUAGAAGACAUCUGAAAGAGAUUAAAGAUUUAUCGGUGAUGGAUGGGGAUGCGUCUGAUUAGCUUGUUGGCGGGGUAACGGCCCCCCAAGGCAACGAUCAGUAGGGGUUCUGAGAGGAAGGUCCCCCACAUUGGAACUGAGACACGGUCCAAACUCCUACGGGAGGCAGCAGUGAGGAAUAUUGGUCAAUGGACGAGAGUCUGAACCAGCCAAGUAGCGUGCAGGAUGACGGCCCUAUGGGUUGUAAACUGCUUUUAUAAGGGAAUAAAGUGAGUCUCGUGAGACUUUUUGCAUGUACCUUAUGAAUAAGGACCGGCUAAUUCCGUGCCAGCAGCCGCGGUAAUACGGAAGGUCCGGGCGUUAUCCGGAUUUAUUGGGUUUAAAGGGAGCGUAGGCCGGAGAUUAAGCGUGUUGUGAAAUGUAGAUGCUCAACAUCUGAACUGCAGCGCGAACUGGUUUCCUUGAGUACGCACAAAGUGGGCGGAAUUCGUGGUGUAGCGGUGAAAUGCUUAGAUAUCACGAAGAACUCCGAUUGCGAAGGCAGCUCACUGGAGCGCAACUGACGCUGAAGCUCGAAAGUGCGGGUAUCGAACAGGAUUAGAUACCCUGGUAGUCCGCACGGUAAACGAUGGAUGCCCGCUGUUGGUCUGAAUAGGUCAGCGGCCAAGCGAAAGCAUUAAGCAUCCCACCUGGGGAGUACGCCGGCA